This 271-nucleotide ribosomal RNA is filed under the name uncultured gamma proteobacterium MB10g-RC1. RNAcentral describes it as "partial 16S ribosomal RNA". It matches the Rfam family "Bacterial small subunit ribosomal RNA", at positions 219 to 483 of the family's 1533-position model. Lineage: Bacteria; Pseudomonadati; Pseudomonadota; Gammaproteobacteria. The record is from RNAcentral.
UAUGAGAUGAGCCUGCGUUAGAUUAGCUAGUUGGUGGGGUAAAGGCCUACCAAGGCGACGAUCUAUAGCUGGUCUGAGAGGACGAUCAGCCACACUGGGACUGAGACACGGCCCAGACUCCUACGGGAGGCAGCAGUGGGGAAUAUUGGACAAUGGGCGCAAGCCUGAUCCAGCAAUACCGCGUGUGUGAAGAAGGCCUUCGGGUUGUAAAGCACUUUCAAUUGGGAGGAAAACCUACCGGUCAAUACCCGGUAGCUUGACAUUACCUUUA